RNAcentral lists this ribosomal RNA (597 nucleotides) under uncultured archaeon. RNAcentral describes it as "bacterial SSU rRNA". It matches the Rfam family "Archaeal small subunit ribosomal RNA", at positions 404 to 999 of the family's 1478-position model. The record is from RNAcentral.
UGUCUGUCCACCCGCCUAAAAAGCGGGUGUUAGCAAGGGCCGGGCAAGACCGGUGCCAGCCGCCGCGGUAAUACCGGCGGCUCGAGUGGUGGCCGAUAUUAUUGAGUCUAAAGGGUCCGUAGCCGGCUUUGCAAGUCUCUCGGGAAAUCCAGCGGCUUAACCGUUGGUCGUCCGGGGGGUACUACAUUGCUUGGGACUGGGAGAGGUAGGAGGUACUCAGGGGGUAGGAGUGAAAUCCUGUAAUCCUUUGGGGACCACCGGUGGCGAAGGCGUCCUACCAGAACAGGUCCGACGGUGAGGGACGAAAGCUAGGGGCACGAACCGGAUUAGAUACCCGGGUAGUCCUAGCCGUAAACGAUGCUCGCUAGGUGUCACAACAGUCGUGAACUGUUGUGGUGCCGUAGGGAAGCCGUGAAGCGAGCCACUUGGGAAGUACGACCGCAAGGUUGAAACUUAAAGGAAUUGGCGGGGGAGCACCACAACGGGUGGAGCCUGCGGUUUAAUUGGACUCAACGCCGGGAAGCUUACCGGGAUCGACAGUUGUAUGAAGGCCAGGCUGAAGACCUUGCCGGACUAUCUGAGAAGAAGUGCAUGGCC